Molecule: ribosomal RNA, 468 nt
Filed under: uncultured bacterium
Lineage: Bacteria
Description: partial 16S ribosomal RNA
Rfam family: Bacterial small subunit ribosomal RNA
Source: RNAcentral
GACGAACGCUGGCGGCGUGCUUAACACAUGCAAGUCGAACGGAAAGGCCCUGCUUUUGUGGGGUGCUCGAGUGGCGAACGGGUGAGUAACACGUGAGUAACCUGCCCUUGACUUUGGGAUAACUUCAGGAAACUGGGGCUAAUACCGGAUAGGAGCUCCUGCUGCAUGGUGGUGGUUGGAAAGUUUCGGCGGUUGGGGAUGGACUCGCGGCUUAUCAGCUUGUUGGUGGGGUAGGGGCUUCCCAGGGCUUUGACGGGUAGCCGGCCUGAGAGGGUGACCGGCCACAUUGGGCCUGCGAUACGGCCCAGACUCCUACGGGAGGCAGCAGUGGGGAAUAUUGCACAAUGGGCGGAAGCCUGAUGCAGCAACGCCGCGUGCGGGAUGACGGCCUUCGGGUUGUAAACCGCUUUCGCCUGUGACGAAGCGUGCGUGACGGUAAUGGGUAAAGAAGCACCGGCUAACUACGUG